ACUCCUACGGGAGGCAGCAGUAGGGAAUCUUCCGCAAUGGACGAAAGUCUGACGGAGCAACGCCGCGUGAGUGAAGAAGGUUUUCGGAUCGUAAAACUCUGUUGUGAGGGAAGAACAAGUACCAACUAACUACUGGUACCUCGACGGUACCUCACCAGAAAGCCACGGCUAACUAGGUGCCAGCAGCCGCGGUAAU
RNAcentral lists this ribosomal RNA (196 nucleotides) under uncultured bacterium. RNAcentral's name for it is "partial 16S ribosomal RNA". It matches the Rfam family "Bacterial small subunit ribosomal RNA", at positions 335 to 524 of the family's 1533-position model. The record is from RNAcentral.